Cavia porcellus (domestic guinea pig) is the source of this 2679-nucleotide long non-coding RNA. RefSeq lists it as uncharacterized. The record is from RefSeq and is a predicted model, not a curated record. The transcript has 2 exons. Lineage: Eukaryota; Metazoa; Chordata; Mammalia; Rodentia; Caviidae.
CAGAGAAAUUCACUUCCUAGUAUGUAAGAAAAUUUAAAACAGGAAGAUAGAAAUGAUGUUUCACUAAAGCCUACAAUCAUUGUUCCAAUUUCUAAGUACUAAAGGUAAACAAAAUAUGUUGGAAAAUGGAGAUUUAUUAUCAUGAUUUAAAGGAAACAAAUUACACUCCCAAAUAUUCUGAGUAAAUUUUUGUUUUUUAAAGCUGCCUAGUAACGAAUUUCUACUUGUUUACAGAUUGAGAAGAACACCUAUUUCCACAUGACCAGAGUAACUUGUCAUCUUUUAUCUUUUUUCUGCAUUUAUAUGAACCUGUGUGAACCUACAAUUUAUAUUUCCUUUUGACCCCAAAGAAGACAGAUAAAUUCCUCCUGUCUUCAGGGACCACUUCAUGUUUCAUGCUCUCAGUGGAAUUUGUCUUCUACUCAUCACCCAGAAAGAUCUACUAUUUAACUUUUUAUCCAUGGGAGUUAUCCCUAUGACUUUCAUUACUUUCUAUUUUGAAUUAUUUAAAGAAUUUUAUAUCAGCAGCUAUAAUACAUGGGACUCUGAGGGGCCUAAUAUGUAACAACUAUCUCGGUUCUAUCGGAGUUCUGAAUCAUAUAAGAAAUGAACCUGACAAAUGGGAAUCAAAUACCCCUUGAAUCACUGUCAAGCCCCAAAUAUAGUUUCUGGCACUAAUUGCCCACUUUGUCACCAACAGUGGCACCCAGCAAAAUGUAUAGUACAAGAAAGCACUGUUUAGAGCUUCCUGUAGGCAGCUGACUGUGAAGUGGAAGGAGAUGACAAGAUCUGAGCUUUGAGUACCUGGUUUCUCCUGCUUACUUUUGGCAAUCUUUUUCAAUUAUGUAGUAAAGACUAGGAAAUGAGGUAAGGGAGGAAGGGGUUUAGUUACAGCCUCUUUUCAUGAAAAUCAAAACAUUCUUCACUAAUACAGCUCAGCUUUUUGGCCUUUUAAUCCAUUGGGACUAAUUAUUAAGUCCUAGUCACCCAAAGGUGUGUCUCCUUUGGAAAGGUGAUUAGUGCCCUACUAGGGAUUCCUAUUCCCAUUUUCCCUGAGGCAGAUUCUGAAAAAUCACACCCUUGCAAAUUUUACAGGAGUGCUCUUUCAGGUGAGUAUGUUGUAACAGAAGACUCAGGAACAUGUCUGGACAGUUAUUUAUUUAUUUAUUUUAUUUAAAGAGAGAAGAAAAAAAAAGAAAGGACAUUAAAAAAUGUAGUAAAAGGGUACAAAUGAUACAGUAUUUCAAGAAAAAAAUAUAUACAGUACAAAAUCACCAGUUAAUAGGUUACAUAUUAUCUUCCCAGAAACAGUUGUCCAUAUCACUAAAUUAAAGCAUAUAAAGUGGACAUUCAUACAAUGAAAUUGGAGAUGGACAGUUAUUUUUGAAGAUUCCAAGAUCAUCUGAAUUCUAGCCUGAAAUUUAACUCCCUAUUCUAUGCCCAUCUCGCAUGAUGCCAGGUACCGUGCUCCUCAAGAUAGCCAGCCUCUUCACUUGUGUGAGGAGGGCUGAAUGUCACUAGAAUGGCCACAGUUCCUUCCGGGCUCUGAUGCACCUUGAGGUUGAAGGGUUAGAAGUCAUGCAUAACGAUCACAGCACUGACUUUCAUGACAUCCUGAAAUGAAUGGCACAGUCACUCUGUGUAUUUAAGUAAUCGUAGGCAAAUUUACUUUGCUAUAUCCCAUUAAAGACUGUUGGCAAAACAGAGGAGCAGGAAUACCUAAAAACUCAAAGUAAGACCAGAAAAACCUCCAGGCGUGAUUCUCCAGAUCCAAGGCAGUUUAAGCUAGUUGUCUGGUAUCCCUGACCUGCAAACAGUAGGUGGAACCCUCUUUCUUGAGAGAUUCAUCAUACCUGGGCAACCAAGAGUCAUCUAUGUGUAGGAACCUUCUACCAAAGGAAAACAUGGAUGGCAUCUUGAAAUUUAAAAAAAAAACUGCCUUGUUGUCAUCACAGACAGGGCCAUCUUCAUUUAUCUUUGGAAGAAUAUUUUCAAAUUCACUACAUUUAGAAUCCUUUCACUUCCUCUGAACCCUAGGAAUCUGUUCUAAGAAGACUUCUCCUCCCUGCCAUUCCAAGCAGGAUUUUUGGUCAUGAACAUCUGCCGUGUGCUCUUCAAACCUUCUGGUGUUUCAGGCCUUAUUUGAAAUACCAAGAGCAGUGGAGUUUAUUUAAUUAGGCAAAUGAGGGAUAAUAGGGACUUGGAUCCAGGUGGCUGUGUUGGAAAGAGUCUAAAGGCAUUCUGAUGAUAGAGUAGCCGUAAUUUGAUGACAGAUUUGAUGUAUGGUGGGGGAAAGAAAAUAAAAGUCAAAAAAAUUUGUGUUUUUGGCCCAGGUUACCAGAAAAAGUAAAAUUGCCACCUACAAAAUGAAGUAUCACCUGAGAACUUCCCAGGAUUUAUAAAUGUUUCUGGUUUUAUUAUUCAGAGGCUUUGCAAGCACUUGAUACAUCUGUUUCAAUAUUCAUACCAUAGUUUCUCUACCUGGAACUACGUCAAGACAAAUCUUGGUAGCAUCUAGCUAUCAACUCACUCUAGAGUAGUAAGCUAUUAACUGUUUGUGUACCCUAGACUCUGGGGAUAUCUAGUGCAUCUUUGGUACCAUUUUGUUAAAAAACUUUUUAAAUGCAUAAAAUAAAGCACAUAUAUAUUAUAAAACCAAUAAAAUUAAAAAUUAACAGA